RNA transcript from Armigeres subalbatus, 3250 nucleotides. RefSeq lists it as uncharacterized. Lineage: Eukaryota; Metazoa; Arthropoda; Insecta; Diptera; Culicidae. The record is from RefSeq and is a predicted model, not a curated record. The transcript has 3 exons.
GUCACUAUGCCAUCAAUCGGUGUUCUGAAACCAGAGAAAAGUGGAAAGAAAGAAGACCACUACAUUAAUGUUCACUCUGAAAGGGACGACGACCGUGAGGUUUCGGUUCAAGAUCACUCAGUUGCUUCUCCUAAAGCUUGUUUGGUGUGUCUGAAUGAAUGUAGCGGCCCGGAAACGUGCCAACGGUUCCUUAAUAUGGAUAUUGGGUCACGAUGGAGCAUUGUGAAGGAGAAAAAGUUAUGCAGGAAAUGUCUUCGUAAGCACUUUGGUGUCUGUCAGGUCAGAGUACCGUGUGGAAAGAAUGGUUGCACAUUCAUGCAUAGUGAAUUAUUGCAUGAUGAUAAGCGAUAUAACAAACCUGCAUUACCGGAUCAAGAAAAUGUAACGAGUAGAAACUCAGCGACACUGAGCUGCAAUACUCAUUCGAAGGCAUCAAGGAAGAUACUUUUCCGGUACGUGCCAAUCACUAUCCACGGUAAUGGAAAACAAGUAAGCACAUAUGCUUUCCUCGAUGAUGGAUCGUCAGCGACUUUAAUGGAACACAGUCUGCUUGAAGAAUUGGGUCUUGAAGGAAAACCUUAUCCAUUGUGCCUUGAUUGGACCGGUGGUCACCAACGAGAGGAGAAACAAUCGGUCCAAUUGUCUCUAAAGAUUUCAGGGAUGAAAGAAACCAACGAAAUAUUUGAACUCUCCGAAGUUCAUACGGUAUCGGAUCUUUCCUUGCCAAAGCAGUCAAUUUCAUUGCCGUACCUAACAGAUAAAUACAGCUAUCUUGAAGGUUUGCCAUUAGAGUCUUAUGAAGGCGUGUCUCCAAGAAUUCUUAUCGGAAUGAAUAAUUGUUGGUUAGGUCAUUCUCUUCGAAGCAUAGAAGGUGGCCAAAAUGAGCCUAUGGUUUCCAUGACGCGCCUUGGUUGGAUGAUAUACGGACCGUGUAUAAUGGAAUCGGGAGGGACAAACCAUAAUUAUAAUGGCUUUUGUAGUUUUCAUAUACAUCUGAGAGAAAAAUCUAAAGAAUUGAUGAAGUGUACCUCCGGCGUCCAAUCCGAAUCAGAGUUUCCUAAAUCAUCAACUAUAGCAAAGCGGAAGGUGUCAAGGACUCUAUCUCGUAGAAAAACCACCACAGUGCCAACUAUAGAGGCACAUAAGAAAACUAUCAAGCACAUUCGGGAUUUCAUGAUCAAAUCACUGAACAAGUGCCCAGUGCGUAUUGUAACCAGCAAAUGCCUUGGGCACGAAAAAAUGCGGAACACGAAAUUCAUCGCUCUGCACAAAACUACUAACUCGUUGCUGUCGAAAGGCAUGAUUCGUUAUAGUCACCAUCGAUGCUUCGAGACCAUUCGACAGACCCGGCAGCUCAAUAAUAUUUCCACGAUAUAUCCUGCAUCGAAUGUAAUACGCCGGACUGAUGUACUGGAGUGUUAUGGGAAUGUACAAUCCUUGCCGAAAAUACCAGAUAUCAAGCUUAAAUCAAGAUCUUUCACCGACAUACCGACAAAUAUGGAUAUUGAAAUACCAUGGUGUUACGACUACCAGCCCCUGAUCGAACCAACGUUAUUGAUGCAACCAUGGACGAGGAUCAAGCUUCAUAAUACGUUUGGAUACGUGAAUAAUCGAGCACCAGCCUACGGAUAUUCACUGCAGUCACUCAAUAAAUCAGCCAAAAGACGCAUGAUUGAAGGUUUGCGAGCAAUGCUAGUGGUCAGUGGCGUCUACGAUAUAUCAACGUUCAAAAUUGUCGUAUUUGGCAGCGGUGCAAACGAUGGUAAGCUACUUGCAUGGCAGUGGCGUACCGUGGGGGAAUGUUACAACACUACGGGUUGCAGCGCACCUCGCAUUUUUUAAAACUCUAAUUUGCAUCAAUCAGUACCAGCCCUGUUACCUAUUUGUCGAUUGGUAGCAGCCUGAGAGUAGCAGCAGACUGAAUAUGUAUGAGGUGUAAGCAGAAUGGUAGGUAAAUACGGUAAUAAUAACAAAGCACCGAUAAUUGCUAGUGAUACUGCAGAGUAUAGGUGAGAAACAUUAGGAAUAUUUAUAAACUAUCUUAAAAACUAGAUGUUAUUAUACUUAAAAUUAGCUUAAAACUAUCGAAACGAGAGCCAAGUGUGAAUAAUAUCCUACUACUUUACACAUACCGAAGUUUGAGUUCAAACCACGAUCUAGAAUUGUGCAUUACGGUUGCUACUAGUACGGGCGAAAGACUUAGCAGAAGAACACUAAACGUCCUGAUGGACGAUCGGAUGGUUGAUAUAAUAUAAUCCUUGGAAAAAGCUCAUUCCUCUCGGUCACAAGCAAGCCAAUUUGUCUAUGCCGGAUCACCGACAGCAGCUGGCGGGUAGAUUGGACGACGGUCAUCUGAUAAUUUUCAACAUGGACGACGGCGACUAACAGGAGAAGAUACCCAUCUAUAAAUCACGAGUCAAAGCGAUGUCGUUUGUUAGAGAUUUUAUGGCUACUACUUCUGUUGCUGGUGAUGUCAGAUUUCAGAUGUCAGAUCGGAAAAGAUUUCAAGGAAAUUUGCACAACAAACUUCGGGCGCAGACGGAUCAGAGGACAAUAAAGGUUAGGCGUAAGAAGUUGAAGAGGAUUUGGACGAUCGGUGAAUACGAAUGACUCUUUUCGAAAAGCAGUCGAGUGAAUAUCCGCUUCGAAUCCGAACUCGGCUGAUUGGUUUGAUCGGGACUGAUCCAAGAGCUUACUAACGAAGACGACUAUCACCGCUAUUCAAGCUCAAUCUGGAAUCGCAGCACCCGAGACCCCGGUUGGAGCUCAACCGAUGCGAUUAGCGCCGAAUAUGGAUCAGCUGCAUUUUUGUCCGCUGCGAAUGCUGUCUUUGGGGCAAAUGCCAGCGUUAAAGCCUCGUCAUCACCAACAAUUAUUGACCUGGACUAGGAGGCUGCUCAUCAGGAGAAGAUAUUUAUUACCAAUAAUAAUAAUAAUUAAUUUAUAAAUAAUAAACGUGAUAAUUUAGUUUGGCGUACUUCACUUGUUUUGAAUAUCAAUGCAUUUUACACACUUUCAAUUUUGAAAGAAAAAUGUUAUUUUGAGAAGUUUGAUACACAUUUAGUGUUGAGAGGAAAAUGUUAUUUUGAAAGUUUAAAUACACAUUUAGUUUUGAGAGGUAAUUGUUAUUUUGAAAAGUUGGCUCUUGUAAAAGUUCAUUCUGAAGUGACACUUUUAGAAUUGUAAAUUCAACAAUGUUAUACUUUCUACUGAAAAUCACUAACUGAUUUUCUUAAUUUUACCAACGUUU